GACGAACGCUGGCGGCGUGCUUAACACAUGCAAGUCGAACGGAAAGGCCCCUUUGGGGGUACUCGAGUGGCGAACGGGUGAGUAACACGUGAGUAACCUGCCCUUGACUUCGGGAUAACUUCAGGAAACUGGGGCUAAUACCGGAUAGGAAUCCUUGCUGCAUGGUGGGGGUUGGAAAGCUUCGGCGGUUUUGGAUGGACUCGCGGCUUAUCAGCUUGUUGGUGGGGUAGUGGCUUACCAAGGCUUUGACGGGUAGCCGGCCUGAGUGGGCGACCGGCCACAUUGGGCCUGGGGUCCGGCCCAGACUCCGACGGGAGGCAGCAGUGGGGAAUAUUGCACAAUGGGCGGAAGCCUGAUGCAGCAACGCCGCGUGCGGGAGGACGGCCUUCGGGUUGUAAACCGUUUUCAGCAGGGGCGAAGCUUGUGGUGACGGUACCUUCAGAAGAAGCACCGGCUAACUACGUG
This 465-nucleotide ribosomal RNA is filed under the name uncultured bacterium. RNAcentral describes it as "partial 16S ribosomal RNA". It matches the Rfam family "Bacterial small subunit ribosomal RNA", at positions 28 to 507 of the family's 1533-position model. The record is from RNAcentral.